Non-coding RNA from Tinamus guttatus (white-throated tinamou), 94 nucleotides. NCBI's taxonomy places the organism in Eukaryota, Metazoa, Chordata, Aves, Tinamiformes, Tinamidae. The record is from RefSeq and is a predicted model, not a curated record.
ACCACAAACCACCCAAGCAAAACAUACCUUCUUAAAAAGCAGCAUAAACCAGCUCAGUUCUUGCAAGUCUUCUGCUCAGAGAAUCAUUUGUAUC